AUACGUAGGGUGCAAGCGUUAAUCGGAAUUACUGGGCGUAAAGCGUGCGCAGGCGGUUUUGUAAGACAGAGGUGAAAUCCCCGGGCUCAACCUGGGAACUGCCUUUGUGACUGCAAGGCUAGAGUACGGCAGAGGGGGAUGGAAUUCCGCGUGUAGCAGUGAAAUGCGUAGAUAUGCGGAGGAACACCGAUGGCGAAGGCAAUCCCCUGGGCCUGUACUGUCGCUCAUGCACCAAAGCGUGGGGAGCAAACAGGAUUAGAUAGCCUGUUAGUCCACGCCCUAAACGAUGUCAACUGGUUGUUGGGUCUUCAUUGACUCAGUAACGAAGCUAACUCGUGAAGUUGACCGCCUGGGGAGUACGGCCUCAAGGUUGAAACUCAAAGGAAUUGACGGG
RNAcentral lists this ribosomal RNA (394 nucleotides) under uncultured bacterium. Its description in RNAcentral is "partial 16S ribosomal RNA". It matches the Rfam family "Bacterial small subunit ribosomal RNA", at positions 523 to 917 of the family's 1533-position model. The record is from RNAcentral.